Microtus ochrogaster (prairie vole) is the source of this 450-nucleotide long non-coding RNA. RefSeq lists it as uncharacterized. The record is from RefSeq and is a predicted model, not a curated record. The transcript has 3 exons. Lineage: Eukaryota; Metazoa; Chordata; Mammalia; Rodentia; Cricetidae.
AAUGCUCUGAUUGUCUGAAUUCAGUCAGGUAUCUCACAUGUGGCACCAGGAUGGUUUAGAAUCGCCGGCCAAAGAGAGCAGGACCCAUUCUCGUUAGAGAAAUCUUUCAAGCAUGGACACUACUUAAAACCACACUGAGACAUCUCUGAACCACUUCAGAAGGUUCACGAUCACAACAUCAAACACCGUCAACUAUUGAUGAUUCCAGAACUUCUGGGAGAGCUUUCGCUCCACACAACGAAGCUUGGCACAGCUCACAUUUUCCUCUGACCCCAUGACAAAUCUCAUUUCUCAUGUCCAAAGAAGCUGACCUCUAGAGAAACACGGACUGGAUGGGCCUGGAUUUAGCACCGUUGAAUGAUCAGAGACAAACAGCAGGACCUACAUCCUGCAGGAGAAAGGGGCUCAGCUACAAAUUAGAGCUUGAUUCUCGGAGCCCCAAAAAGUCCC